This 856-nucleotide small RNA is filed under the name Pongo abelii (Sumatran orangutan). RNAcentral describes it as "processed transcript". The record is from RNAcentral. Lineage: Eukaryota; Metazoa; Chordata; Mammalia; Primates; Hominidae.
ACCACCCGGGGCCAUGGACGGAGCAGUGAUGGAAGGGCCGCUCUUUUUGCAGAGUCAGCGCUUUGGGACCAAGAGGUGGAGGAAGACCUGGGCCGUGCUCUACCCGGCCAGUCCCCACGGCGUAGCUCGGCUCGAGUUCUUUGACCAUAAGGGGUCGAGCUCUGGGGGUGGCCGAGGGAGCUCGCGCCGCCUGGACUGCAAGGAUCCCAAUUCUGGGUAACGGUGCAGAGGACUGAGGCCGCCGAGCGCUGUGGCCUGCAUGGCUCCUACGUGCUGAGGGUGGAGGCUGAGAGGCUGACUCUCCUGACCGUGGGGGCCCAGAGUCAGAUACUGGAGCCACUCCUGUCCUGGCCCUACACUCUGUUGCGUCGCUAUGGCCGGGACAAGGUCAUGUUCUCUUUUGAGGCCGGCCGCCGCUGCCCCUCAGGCCCUGGAACCUUCACCUUCCAGACGGCACAGGGAAAUGACAUCUUCCAGGCAGUUGAGACUGCCAUCCACCGGCAGAAGGCCCAGGGAAAGGCCGGACAGGGGCACGAUGUUCUCAGAGCUGACUCCCAUGAAGGGGAGGUGGCAGAGGGGAAGUUGCCUUCCACACCUGGCCCCCAAGAGCUCCUCGACAGUCCCCCAGCCCUGUAUGCUGAGCCCUUAGACUCCCUGCGCAUUGCUCCAUGCCCUUCCCAGGAUUCCCUAUACUCAGACCCCUUGGACAGCACCCCUGCUCGGGCAGGAGAGGGAGUACAACGGAAGAAACCUCUCUAUUGGGACUUGUAUGCGCAUGCGCAGCAGCAGUUGCUGAAGGCCAAGCUGACGGACCCCAAAGAGGACCCCAUCUAUGAUGAACCUGAGGGCCUGGCCC